GCCCGCCUAGCUCAAUCGGAUAGAGCGUCAGACUUUUACGGUCUAGGUGGGUUUACCUAGUAUGGUAUCUGAAGGCUGCGGGUUCGACCCCCGCGGUGGGCU
Molecule: transfer RNA, 102 nt
Filed under: Grifola frondosa (maitake)
Lineage: Eukaryota; Fungi; Basidiomycota; Agaricomycetes; Polyporales; Grifolaceae
Rfam family: tRNA
About the family: Transfer RNA (tRNA) molecules are approximately 80 nucleotides in length. Their secondary structure includes four short double-helical elements and three loops (D, anti-codon, and T loops).
Source: Rfam by way of RNAcentral